This 477-nucleotide ribosomal RNA is filed under the name uncultured bacterium. Its description in RNAcentral is "partial 16S ribosomal RNA". It matches the Rfam family "Bacterial small subunit ribosomal RNA", at positions 28 to 507 of the family's 1533-position model. The record is from RNAcentral.
GAUGAACGCUGGCGGCGUGCCUAAUACAUGCAAGUCGAGCGAACGGACGAGAAUCUUGCUUCUCUGAUGUUAGCGGCAGACGGGUGAGUAACACGUGUAUAACCUACCUAUAAGACUGGGAUAACUUCGGGAAACCGGAGCUAAUACCGUAUGAUAUUUUGAACCGCAUUGUUCAAAAGUGAAAGACGGUCUUGCUGUCGGUUGUGGAUGCAUCCGCGCUUCAUUAUCUAGUUGGUGAUGUAGUGGCUUACCAAGGCGACGGGGGGUAGCCGACCUGAGAGGGUGACCGCCCACACUGGGACUGAGGGAGGGCCCAGACUCCGACGGUCGGCAGCAGGGGGGAAGAUUGCAGAAGGGGCGGAAGCCUGAUGCAGAAACUCCGCGUGCGGGAAAACUGCCUUCGUGGGGAAAACCGCUUUCGCCAGUGACGAAGCGUGAGUGACGGUAAUGGAUAAAGAAGCACCGGCUAACUACGUG